AAACUAUUAACCUAUAAAGAAAAUUAUGUAGUGUAGUGUCAAAAAAUGACACAACGAAACGAAUUUGUUAUCUUAUGUAAAACAUGCAGUAUAAAUCAGAAUGAAGUCAACAGGGCACGCAAAAAUGGCAUUUUGCUCCAGCACCUCGGAACAUCGCAAGUUUGGUUAUAAUGCAGGUCUUCUUUUGUGUGUACAUAUUCAUUGUAACAGUAAUACUGUUGCUGGCCUUGCUCAGUAGUCGAAAAUCGCGGAAAAAAGACCACAAUGAAGAGGAGAAAAAUAACGAGGUGGACAGUGGUCAGUAGUUGCGGAACUGGUCCAGCUACUUCGCGUACAAUGCCGAGCAGCUUCCCCGGAACAUCUGGUGCUCGCUCUCCACAAGAUUAUCCCGCGUAUCAAAUUCAAUAAAAAACAUUAAUCAUA
Molecule: long non-coding RNA, 423 nt
Organism: Aethina tumida (small hive beetle)
Lineage: Eukaryota; Metazoa; Arthropoda; Insecta; Coleoptera; Nitidulidae
Exons: 3
Source: RefSeq, a predicted model, not a curated record